ACAUUUAGACACACAUUCACACAUACACCCACACACAUUCACAGUCAUACACACAUAUUCACACACAUACACCCACACACAUUCACAGUCAUGCACACAUUUACACACACAUUCACACACAUACACACCCACACACUUUCACAGACAUACACCCACAUUUUCACACUUUCACACACAUACACCCACACACAUUCACACUCAUACACCCAUUCACGUUCACACUCAUACACACAUUCAGACACACAUUCAGACACACAUUCAGACACACACAUACACACCCACACACAUGCAUUCAGACACACACCCACACACAUUCACACUUAUACACACACGUUCACACACAUACACCCACAUUCACAC
This 360-nucleotide long non-coding RNA is filed under the name Homo sapiens (human). Its description in RNAcentral is "non-protein coding lnc-C14orf180-3:1". The record is from RNAcentral. Lineage: Eukaryota; Metazoa; Chordata; Mammalia; Primates; Hominidae.